GACGAACGCUGGCGGCGUGCUUAACACAUGCAAGUCGAACGGAAAGGCCCUGCUUGCAGGGUGCUCGAGUGGCGAACGGGUGAGUAACACGUGGGUGAUCUGCCCCUUACUUUGGGAUAAGCCUGGGAAACUGGGUCUAAUACUGGAUAGGACCAUGCUGUAGGUGGUGUGGUGGAAAGAUUAGUUUCGGUAAGGGAUGAGCUCGCGGCCUAUCAGCUUGUUGGUGGGGUAAUGGCCUACCAAGGCGUCGACGGGUAGCCGGCCUGAGAGGGUGGACGGCCACAUUGGGACUGAGAUACGGCCCAGACUCCUACGGGAGGCAGCAGUGGGGAAUAUUGCACAAUGGGCGCAAGCCUGAUGCAGCGACGCCGCGUGGGGGAUGACGGCCGUCGGGUUGUAAACUCCUUUCAGCCAUGACGAAGCCCUUGUGGUGACGGUAGUGGUAGAAGAAGCACCGGCUAACUACGUG
RNAcentral lists this ribosomal RNA (469 nucleotides) under uncultured bacterium. RNAcentral's name for it is "partial 16S ribosomal RNA". It matches the Rfam family "Bacterial small subunit ribosomal RNA", at positions 28 to 507 of the family's 1533-position model. The record is from RNAcentral.